This 878-nucleotide ribosomal RNA is filed under the name uncultured bacterium. RNAcentral's name for it is "bacterial SSU rRNA". It matches the Rfam family "Bacterial small subunit ribosomal RNA", at positions 8 to 872 of the family's 1533-position model. The record is from RNAcentral.
AGAGUUUGAUCCUGGCUCAGGACGAACGCUGGCGGCGCGCUUAACACAUGCAAGUCGAGCGAGAACCAGGGCUUCGGCUCUGGGGACAGCGGCGAACGGGUGAGUAACACGUGGGUAAUCAACCCCCGACACCGGGAUAGCCCGGGGAAACUCGGAUUAAUACCGGAUGUCCCGUCCGGCCUUCGGGCCGGCCGGAAAAGGUAGCUUCGGCCUCCGGUUGGGGACGAGCCCGCGGCGGAUUAGCUUGUUGGUGAGGUAACGGCCCACCAAGGCGACGAUCCGUAGCUGGUCUGAGAGGACGAUCAGCCACACUGGGACUGAGACACGGCCCAGACUCCUACGGGAGGCAGCAGUGGGGAAUCUUGCGCAAUGGGCGAAAGCCUGACGCAGCGACGCCGCGUGAGGGAAGAAGGCCUUCGGGUUGUAAACCUCUUUCAGGAGGGACGAAGCCACUCGGGUUAAUAGCCCAGAGGGUGACGGUACCUCCAGAAGAAGCCCCGGCUAACUACGUGCCAGCAGCCGCGGUAAUACGUAGGGGGCAAGCGUUGUCCGGAUUUAUUGGGCGUAAAGAGCGUGUAGGCGGCCAUGCAGGUCAGCUGUGAAAACUCGAGGCUCAACCUCGAGAUGUCGGUUGAAACCGUGUGGCUAGAGUCCGGAAGAGGAGAGUGGAAUUCCCGGUGUAGCGGUGAAAUGCGCAGAUAUCGGGAAGAACACCCGUGGCGAAGGCGGCUCUCUGGGACGGUACUGACGCUGAGACGCGAAAGCGUGGGGAGCGAACAGGAUUAGAUACCCUGGUAGUCCACGCCGUAAACGAUGGGUGCUAGGUGUGGGGGGUGUCGACUCCCUCCGUGCCGAAGCUAACGCAUUAAGCACCCCGC